Molecule: transfer RNA, 64 nt
Filed under: Cavia porcellus (domestic guinea pig)
Lineage: Eukaryota; Metazoa; Chordata; Mammalia; Rodentia; Caviidae
Rfam family: tRNA
About the family: Transfer RNA (tRNA) molecules are approximately 80 nucleotides in length. Their secondary structure includes four short double-helical elements and three loops (D, anti-codon, and T loops).
Source: Rfam by way of RNAcentral
AGGGAUUUGGCUCAGUGGCAUAAGCGCCUGCCUGGCAAGCACGAGGUUGUGAGUUCAAUCCCUG